UUUCAGAUAAGUGACUGGUAGAUAACUGAGGUGACAUCCUCAAUCUUCAAGGCUUUUUUCUUUCUGAUUCUAUAUACGUACAGAUGAUACAAAGCAAGUUAAAUAUUAGUUCAUUGGUGUCAGUUUAUUCUGUUAAAUAUUGCUGAUUGCUUUCAGGUGACCUAAUGAUUUUUAUUUAUUGAGUCAUAAUUUUUAUUGAAAGAUCAUUGACUAUAUUUUAACCAUCUGAUAUUUAAGCUUUCCAGGCUAAAAGGUGGGUGGAUCACCUUAGGACAGGAGUUCAAGACCAGCCUGGCCAACAUGGAGAAACCCUGUCUCUACCAAAAAUACAAAAAUUAGCCAGCUGUAGUGGUGCACGACUGUAAUCCUAGCUACUCGGGAGGCUGAGACACGAGAAUCACUUGAAACCAGGAAGCAGAGGUUGCAGUGAGCUGAGAUUGUAGCACUACACACCAUCCUGGGUGACAGUGUGAGACUGUCUCGGAAAAAAAAAAAAAUUGAAGAUAUCAUUUGCCAUUUAAUUUUUUUUUUUUUUUUUGGUUUCUUUUUUGGUAUAGCUGUCAAUUUUAAGGCCAAAUCUUUUAUUUUGAAAGAUUUUACCCAUGUUAAUUUCUAUAAUUCUGAAGUCAUUACUCACAGCUAGAAAUAAAUUUAGAAAUAAUCAAUGCACAUCCAAAC
This 678-nucleotide long non-coding RNA is filed under the name Homo sapiens (human). RNAcentral describes it as "HSALNT0186293". Lineage: Eukaryota; Metazoa; Chordata; Mammalia; Primates; Hominidae. The record is from RNAcentral.